This 468-nucleotide ribosomal RNA is filed under the name uncultured bacterium. RNAcentral's name for it is "partial 16S ribosomal RNA". It matches the Rfam family "Bacterial small subunit ribosomal RNA", at positions 28 to 507 of the family's 1533-position model. The record is from RNAcentral.
GAUGAACGCUGGCGGCGUGCUUAACACAUGCAAGUCGAACGGAAAGGCCCAAGCUUGUUUGGGUACUCGAGUGGCGAACGGGUGAGUAACACGUGGGUGAUCUGCCCUGCACUUCGGGAUAAGCCUGGGAAACUGGGUCUAAUACCGGAUAGGACGAUGGUUUGGAUGCCAUUGUGGAAAGUUUUUUCGGUGUGGGAUGAGCUCGCGGCCUAUCAGCUUGUUGGUGGGGUAAUGGCCUACCAAGGCGUCGACGGGUAGCCGGCCUGAGAGGGUGUACGGCCACAUUGGGACUGAGAUACGGCCCAGACUCCCACGGGGGGCAGCAGUGGGGAAUAUUGCACAAUGGGCGCCAGCCUGAUGCAGCGACGCCGCGUGGGGGAUGACGGCCUUCGGGUUGUAAACUCCUUUCGCUAGGGACGAAGCGUUUUUGUGACGGUACCUGGAGAAGAAGCACCGGCUAACUACGUG